AUUGAACGCUGGCGGCAGGCUUAACACAUGCAAGUCGAGCGGGGUGAUGGUGCUUGCACUAUCACUUAGCGGCGGACGGGUGAGUAAUGCUUAGGAAUCUGCCUAUUAGUGGGGGACAACAUCCCGAAAGGGAUGCUAAUACCGCAUACGUCCUACGGGAGAAAGCAGGGGAUCACUUGUGACCUUGCGCUAAUAGAUGAGCCUAAGUCGGAUUAGCUAGUUGGUGGGGUAAAGGCCUACCAAGGCGACGAUCUGUAGCGGGUCUGAGAGGGUGAUCCGCCACACUGGGACUGAGACACGGCCCAGACUCCUACGGGAGGCAGCAGUGGGGAAUAUUGGACAAUGGGGGGAACCCUGAUCCAGCCAUGCCGCGUGUGUGAAGAAGGCCUUAUGGUUGUAAAGCACUUUAAGCGAGGAGGAGGCUCUUUUGGUUAAUACCCAAGAUGAGUGGACGUUACUCGCAGAAUAAGCACCGGCUAACUCUGUGCCAGCAGCCGCCGAAA
Molecule: ribosomal RNA, 503 nt
Filed under: uncultured bacterium
Lineage: Bacteria
Description: partial 16S ribosomal RNA
Rfam family: Bacterial small subunit ribosomal RNA
Source: RNAcentral